GUGUGUCCAACUCUUCCUCACAGGUUAGUUAAUGACAGACAGUCAGUGAGUGUGUGUCCAACUCUUCCUCACAGGUUAGUUAAUGACAGACAGUCAGUGAGUGUGUCUGUGUCCAACUCUUCCUCACAGGUUAGUUAAUGACAGACAGUCAGUGAGUGUGUCUGUGUCCAACUCUUCCUCACAGGUUAGUUAAUGAUGUUACUGAGUCAAUGUGAGCAGAUUGUGUCUGUAGACUGAAGAGAAUCAGAGUCUCACUGAUGGUGGAAAUAAAGGUUUUACUUCCUUAAAACA
Molecule: long non-coding RNA, 291 nt
Organism: Dicentrarchus labrax (European seabass)
Lineage: Eukaryota; Metazoa; Chordata; Actinopteri; Moronidae
Exons: 2
Source: RefSeq, a predicted model, not a curated record